RNAcentral lists this non-coding RNA (24 nucleotides) under Arabidopsis thaliana (thale cress). Lineage: Eukaryota; Viridiplantae; Streptophyta; Magnoliopsida; Brassicales; Brassicaceae. The record is from RNAcentral.
GGUUAGCACCGAGAAUGAUGGACU